This 1094-nucleotide long non-coding RNA is filed under the name Panax ginseng (ginseng). RNAcentral's name for it is "long non-coding RNA (PGIN_LNC007822)". Lineage: Eukaryota; Viridiplantae; Streptophyta; Magnoliopsida; Apiales; Araliaceae. The record is from RNAcentral.
CCAACCUUAAAAGCUAGGCAGAAAAGAAUGGUUUCAAGUAAAGAUGAAGGGAAAUUAUUUAGUAAUGAACUAAGGAACUUAAUCAUACAUUAUUAAGUUAUAAUUAAACCUUAAGUAUGAUCACUUAGGGUUAAAGAAAGUCAAGUGGAGAUGAAUGUGUACGAUAUGCAAUAAGUGAACUAAACAAAUGACGAUCGAGUUUCGAUUAAUAACGUACGGAUGUUAGUAAGCCGUGAGGAAGGAUAAUUAACUCGAACCGAGUUGUAUUAAUGAAAUAAUUUCACUUUAGUUAUAGAAGAGAACGAAGUUGGUAAGAAUGAUGUAAAAGAAUGACGGAAAGUCGGAACCCAUAAUAACAAAUCUAAUACGGGAUUAAAUUGAGAAGAAGGGUAAGAUUCUUUAGGAACCAAGUAUGUUCAUUCAUGACCUAAUGUGGUAUGUUAUGUGAUUAUGUGUUGUAGAUACCGUACAGACUCGAAGGAAACGUAAUUAUACUGUAGCAGACGCUGAAGGCAAGUUUUUCCUAAACGUUUGUCUAACCUCCGUGUUAGCCAGGUUUUCAAAUGAUUCAAAUUAUGAGAUGCAUGUAUGGUUUUGAAGAAAGAGUCGAUGCCAGUUUUAGCUCGUCUAGACUAAUCUUGAUAGAUUGAUUGAACUGUUUACAAGUCUUUCAAUAUAGAAUUGCUAACGCUAUCCUACGCCAACUAUUUGGUACGGAUUCAAGGUAAGCCUGAAUAUGAAUAAACAAAUGUAUUUUCAUCGAGUAUUCGAUGGGCAUGUGAGGUUGCCACAACUUAAACGUACACACGUUUAAUGGAUGUAGUGUUGAUCAACAUAGGGUACUAUAGGUUGAUCACUUAGAUGUACUCGUAAGAUGUGACGACCCCAAAAUAGGUCCAUUCCACCCAACCCAUUCUGAGUCGCCAAAUACAUGGUACAGAAAUUACUACAACUUUAUUAUUACAAUAGUUAAAACUGUGAGUUUGAAUACAAAUAUUAUCUUCUAGACAAUAUCUAUACUCAAAUAAAUCCUCAUCACAUUUAUUGAUACAUUAUUUUACAAAAAUGGUGAGGACUACUAAACAACUCUCUCU